This 212-nucleotide long non-coding RNA is filed under the name Sorghum bicolor (sorghum). RNAcentral describes it as "long non-coding RNA (SBIC_LNC008334)". Lineage: Eukaryota; Viridiplantae; Streptophyta; Magnoliopsida; Poales; Poaceae. The record is from RNAcentral.
UCCCCUGUAAUAAUAUUGCUCUGCCAGCCCAAUACACGAACUACCCCACGAUAAGAAUCAAUGAAGCUGUCACUAUCACGAACUACCCCACGAUAAAUACGGUAUAAGCACCACGCCUACACAAUAUCUAUCAUUUACCCAUAGAUCCGAUGGAUAAACGCUAUACGAUCCUAAGCAUGUAUAUAGAUCCAAUCUAACUAAGCCAAGUACAU